UGGGGAAUAUUGCACAAUGGAGGGAACUCUGAUGCAGCAACGCCGCGUGCGGGAUGACGGCCUUCGGGUUGUAAACCGCUUUCAGCCAUGACGAAGCUUUUGUGACGGUAGUGGUAGAAGAAGCACCGGCUAACUACGUGCCAGCAGCCGCGGUGAUACGUAGGGUGCGAGCGUUGUCCGGAAUUAUUGGGCGGAAAGAGCUUGUAGGCGGUUUGUCGCGUCGAUAGUGUAAACACGCACCUUAACUGUGUGCCUGCUGUCGAUACGGGCUGACUAGGGGAUGGUAGGGGAGAAUGGAAUUCCCGGUGGAGCGGUGGAAUGCGCAGGUAUCGGGAGGAACACCAGUGGCGAAGGCGGUUCUCUGGACCUUUCCUGACGCUGAGAAGCGAAAGCGUGGGUAGCAAACAGG
This 409-nucleotide ribosomal RNA is filed under the name Fusobacteriota bacterium. RNAcentral describes it as "Fusobacteria bacterium partial 16S ribosomal RNA". It matches the Rfam family "Bacterial small subunit ribosomal RNA", at positions 355 to 776 of the family's 1533-position model. The record is from RNAcentral. Lineage: Bacteria; Fusobacteriati; Fusobacteriota.